This 544-nucleotide small RNA is filed under the name Arabidopsis thaliana (thale cress). RNAcentral's name for it is "putative long intergenic non-coding RNA". Lineage: Eukaryota; Viridiplantae; Streptophyta; Magnoliopsida; Brassicales; Brassicaceae. The record is from RNAcentral.
CGGGCACGUGGCAGGUCUGGAGAAAAGUUGUUUCUUCAUUAACUCCAUUGUCGUCGGGGAAUUACUUCCAGUCACCGGCAUAUUUCUUUACCUUCCAGUUCUUCAUCAUCUUCGAACAGCUUCUACCAGAUUAAGCCUUUCUUUUUACCAAUCGCCUUUUGCAAUGAACAUUGGAAGUAAUUGACUUGAUUUACUUUGCUCAUCGGAUUUCUUCUUUAACCGCUAAAAAUCGAAGCAGUCUUCAGAGAAACUAUCAAACACGACAGGGACUCCAAAUCUACAUACUCCAAUUCAAUCAACUACAACCACUUGAAAUCAAACGACCAAAGUGAACAAUCGCUUAAUUUAAUCCCAUAUGGGCAAGCGAGGAUUUACCAACAAUUGGACGAAGAAUCAAGUACACAGCUAACAAAGACCCAUCAAACCACAAUGAUUUAACACUUCAACAACAUAGAAGUGUUGAUUUGAAGAACAGGCAAAAGGCUUUACAAAAAAACUACAAAUCGAAACAAAGUAUAGAAGAAAAACCGACAAGAAGUUUGAG